CAGCAGAAGACACAAUUUCACUCACACAAUGCUUUAACACCACCAAAAACUUACCUGAAGUGUGAAUGCCACCAACAAAACAACAGGAAUAGUGAUAUACAAUGGAUAAUUAAUAACACUGGUAAAUAAUCUGUG
Molecule: long non-coding RNA, 135 nt
Organism: Thalassophryne amazonica
Lineage: Eukaryota; Metazoa; Chordata; Actinopteri; Batrachoidiformes; Batrachoididae
Exons: 3
Source: RefSeq, a predicted model, not a curated record